This 253-nucleotide ribosomal RNA is filed under the name uncultured bacterium. RNAcentral describes it as "partial 16S ribosomal RNA". It matches the Rfam family "Bacterial small subunit ribosomal RNA", at positions 524 to 776 of the family's 1533-position model. The record is from RNAcentral.
UACGUAGGGUGCGAGCGUUAAUCGGAAUUACUGGGCGUAAAGCGUGCGCAGGCGGUUCGUUGUGUCGGCGGUGAAAGCCCCGGGCUCAACCUGGGAAUGGCCGUUGAAACUGGCGAACUGGAGUGUGGCAGAGGGAGGUAGAAUUCCACGUGUAGCAGUGAAAUGCGUAGAGAUGUGGAGGAAUACCGAUGGCGAAGGCAGCCUCCUGGGCCAACACUGACGCUCAUGCACGAAAGCGUGGGGAGCAAACAGG